Molecule: non-coding RNA, 78 nt
Filed under: bovine gut metagenome
Description: Glycine riboswitch
Rfam family: Glycine riboswitch aptamer
About the family: This family represents the bacterial glycine riboswitch. Glycine riboswitches usually consist of two metabolite-binding aptamers domains with similar structures in tandem. The aptamers cooperatively bind glycine to regulate the expression of downstream genes.
Source: RNAcentral
CGCUCCGGAGAAAUCCACUGAACUGGAUGCCGAAGGUGAAAGCGCAAGCGAAUCUCUCAGGCAAAAGGACGGAGAAGG